This 900-nucleotide ribosomal RNA is filed under the name Enterococcus faecium. RNAcentral describes it as "bacterial SSU rRNA". It matches the Rfam family "Bacterial small subunit ribosomal RNA", at positions 61 to 931 of the family's 1533-position model. The record is from RNAcentral. Lineage: Bacteria; Bacillati; Bacillota; Bacilli; Lactobacillales; Enterococcaceae.
GUCGAACGCUUCUUUUUCCACCGGAGCUUGCUCCACCGGAAAAAGAGGAGUGGCGAACGGGUGAGUAACACGUGGGUAACCUGCCCAUCAGAAGGGGAUAACACUUGGAAACAGGUGCUAAUACCGUAUAACAAUCAAAACCGCAUGGUUUUGAUUUGAAAGGCGCUUUCGGGUGUCGCUGAUGGAUGGACCCGCGGUGCAUUAGCUAGUUGGUGAGGUAACGGCUCACCAAGGCCACGAUGCAUAGCCGACCUGAGAGGGUGAUCGGCCACAUUGGGACUGAGACACGGCCCAAACUCCUACGGGAGGCAGCAGUAGGGAAUCUUCGGCAAUGGACGAAAGUCUGACCGAGCAACGCCGCGUGAGUGAAGAAGGUUUUCGGAUCGUAAAACUCUGUUGUUAGAGAAGAACAAGGAUGAGAGUAACUGUUCAUCCCUUGACGGUAUCUAACCAGAAAGCCACGGCUAACUACGUGCCAGCAGCCGCGGUAAUACGUAGGUGGCAAGCGUUGUCCGGAUUUAUUGGGCGUAAAGCGAGCGCAGGCGGUUUCUUAAGUCUGAUGUGAAAGCCCCCGGCUCAACCGGGGAGGGUCAUUGGAAACUGGGAGACUUGAGUGCAGAAGAGGAGAGUGGAAUUCCAUGUGUAGCGGUGAAAUGCGUAGAUAUAUGGAGGAACACCAGUGGCGAAGGCGGCUCUCUGGUCUGUAACUGACGCUGAGGCUCGAAAGCGUGGGGAGCAAACAGGAUUAGAUACCCUGGUAGUCCACGCCGUAAACGAUGAGUGCUAAGUGUUGGAGGGUUUCCGCCCUUCAGUGCUGCAGCUAACGCAUUAAGCACUCCGCCUGGGGAGUACGACCGCAAGGUUGGAACUCAAAGGAAUUGACGGGGGCCCGCACAAGCG